RNAcentral lists this ribosomal RNA (281 nucleotides) under uncultured prokaryote. Its description in RNAcentral is "partial 16S ribosomal RNA". It matches the Rfam family "Bacterial small subunit ribosomal RNA", at positions 524 to 803 of the family's 1533-position model. The record is from RNAcentral.
UACGUAGGUGGCAAGCGUUGUCCGGAAUUACUGGGUGUAAAGGGCGUGUAGGCGGGGAGACAAGUCAGAUGUGAAAUACCGUGGCUUAACUGCGGGGGUUCAUCUGAAACUGUUUCUCUUGAGUGUCGGAGAGGAAAGUGGAAUUCCCAGUGUAGCGGUGAAAUGCGUAGAGAUUGGGAGGAACACCAGUGGCGAAGGCGGCUUUCUGGACGGCAACUGACGUUGAGGCUCGAAAGCGUGGGGAGCAAACAGGAUUAGAUACCCCGUAGUCCCUGAGCGGG